This 253-nucleotide ribosomal RNA is filed under the name uncultured prokaryote. RNAcentral describes it as "partial 16S ribosomal RNA". It matches the Rfam family "Bacterial small subunit ribosomal RNA", at positions 524 to 776 of the family's 1533-position model. The record is from RNAcentral.
UCCGGGGGGGGCAAGCGUUGUUCGUCCUUCCUUUUCUUCCCUUUCUCUUAGGUGGCCAACUAAGUCAUACGUGAAAUCCCUCGGCUUAACCGGGGAACUGCGUCUGAUACUGGAUGGCUUGAGGUUGGGAGAGGGAUGCGGAAUUCCAGGUGUAGCGGUGAAAUGCGUAGAUAUCUGGAGGAACACCGGUGGCGAAGGCGGCAUCCUGGACCGGUAUUGACGCUGAGGCGCGAAAGCUAGGGGAGCAAACGGG